RNAcentral lists this long non-coding RNA (485 nucleotides) under Nicotiana benthamiana. RNAcentral describes it as "long non-coding RNA (NBEN_LNC019940)". The record is from RNAcentral. Lineage: Eukaryota; Viridiplantae; Streptophyta; Magnoliopsida; Solanales; Solanaceae.
ACUUUGAUAUUCCUCUAUAGCUGGCGAGGAUGGAAUUUCUAAUAACCUUAGGGAUCCUGAAGAACCUGCAAACAAUAAAUUCACAAAUGUAGUAACUAUGUAGGUUAAUUUGAAAGCAACAUCGCUUUAUCCUUUCUAGUACUAUAUGAUAAUAAUAGUUUAAUUGUAGGCAAAUGUCGUUAUAUUGUAGAUAACUAAGUAAUACAAUAAGUCUCUGCAAUGUCGAAUCAAACAUACCUGUACUGAUGCUUUCAUUGGUGAUUGCCAAUUCCAUAUUGAAAUCUCCUACGCAAAUACAUAAGGGAUAUGAACCUAAGUUUUUAUUCUCCUUUUUCGUUUCAAUUUUUGUCCUUUCGAGUACUAUAUCAUAAUUGUAGUUUAAUUGUAGGCAAAUGUCGUUAAAUUGUAGAUAACUAGGUAACACAAAAAUUCUCAGCAAUGUCGAAUCAAACAUACCUGUACUGAUGCUUUCAUUGGUGAUUGCC